GAGACAGCAGCCGCCGCGGUAAUACAGAGGAUGCAGGCGUUAUCCGGAAUGAUUGGGCGUAAAGCGUCUGUAGGUGGCUUUUCAAGUCCGCUGUCAAAUCCCAGGGCUCAACCCUGACAGGCGGUGGAAACUACCAAGCUAGAGUACGGUAGGGGCAGAGGGAAUUUCCAGUGGAGCGGUGAAAUGCGUUGAGAUCGGAAAGAACACCAACGGCGAAAGCACUCUGCUGGGCCGACACUGACACUGAGAGACGAAAGCUAGGGGAGCAAAUGGGAUUAGAUACCCCGGUAGUCCCUGUCUCUUAUACA
RNAcentral lists this ribosomal RNA (308 nucleotides) under uncultured bacterium. RNAcentral describes it as "partial 16S ribosomal RNA". It matches the Rfam family "Bacterial small subunit ribosomal RNA", at positions 505 to 808 of the family's 1533-position model. The record is from RNAcentral.